GCGGGGGUGGAGUAGCAGACAACUCGUCGGGCUAAUCCCCCGAAGCCGUGGGUGCGAAUCCCAUCCCCCGCG
RNAcentral lists this transfer RNA (72 nucleotides) under Gemmata palustris. Its description in RNAcentral is "Gemmata sp. G18 tRNA-Ile". It matches the Rfam family "tRNA". From Rfam's summary of the family: Transfer RNA (tRNA) molecules are approximately 80 nucleotides in length. Lineage: Bacteria; Pseudomonadati; Planctomycetota; Planctomycetia; Gemmatales; Gemmataceae. The record is from RNAcentral.